GCCACCCUAGCUCAGUUGGCAGAGCAACGCAUUCGUAAUGCGUAGGUCAGGAGUUCGACUCUCCUGGGUGGCU
RNAcentral lists this transfer RNA (73 nucleotides) under Fidelibacterota bacterium. Its description in RNAcentral is "tRNA-Thr". It matches the Rfam family "tRNA". From Rfam's summary of the family: Transfer RNA (tRNA) molecules are approximately 80 nucleotides in length. Their secondary structure includes four short double-helical elements and three loops (D, anti-codon, and T loops). The record is from RNAcentral. Lineage: Bacteria; Pseudomonadati; Fidelibacterota.